CACGACUCCUACGGNGGCAGCAGUGGGGAAUUUUGGACAAUGGGGGAAACCCGUGUAUCCAGCAAGUACGCGCGUGUGUGAAGAAGGCCUUCGGGUUGUAAAGCAACUUUUCGUCCGGGAAAGAAAACUUACUGUCCCUAAUACGGGUGGAGGAUGACGGUACCGGAAGAAUAAGCACCGGCUAACUACGUGCCAGCAGCCGCGGUAAUAC
RNAcentral lists this ribosomal RNA (211 nucleotides) under uncultured bacterium. RNAcentral's name for it is "partial 16S ribosomal RNA". It matches the Rfam family "Bacterial small subunit ribosomal RNA", at positions 331 to 526 of the family's 1533-position model. The record is from RNAcentral.